Molecule: ribosomal RNA, 284 nt
Filed under: uncultured prokaryote
Description: partial 16S ribosomal RNA
Rfam family: Bacterial small subunit ribosomal RNA
Source: RNAcentral
UACGGAGGAUCCUAGUGUUAUCCGGAUUUAUUGGGUUUAAAGGGAGCGUAGGCGGGAGGUCAAGUCAGCUGUGAAAUGUAUCUGCUUAACGGGUACACUGCAGUUGAAACUGGUUUUCUUGAGUGUCGGAGAGGUAAGCGGAAUUCCUAGUGUAGCGGUGAAAUGCGUAGAUAUUAGGAGGAACACCGGUGGCGAAGGCGGCUUACUGGACGAUUACUGACGUUGAGGCUCGAAAGCGUGGGGAGCAAACAGGAUUAGAUACCCCGGUAGUCCCUGAGCGGGCU